Molecule: transfer RNA, 86 nt
Filed under: Alphaproteobacteria bacterium
Lineage: Bacteria; Pseudomonadati; Pseudomonadota; Alphaproteobacteria
Also listed under: 3 other names
Description: tRNA-Leu
Rfam family: tRNA
About the family: Transfer RNA (tRNA) molecules are approximately 80 nucleotides in length. Their secondary structure includes four short double-helical elements and three loops (D, anti-codon, and T loops).
Source: RNAcentral
GCGGUCGUGGCGGAAUGGUAGACGCGCAGCGUUGAGGUCGCUGUGGGAGCAAUCCCGUGGAAGUUCGACUCUUCUCGACCGCACCA